RNAcentral lists this ribosomal RNA (647 nucleotides) under Escherichia coli. RNAcentral describes it as "partial 23S ribosomal RNA". It matches the Rfam family "Bacterial large subunit ribosomal RNA", at positions 1 to 688 of the family's 2925-position model. The record is from RNAcentral. RNAcentral also lists the same sequence under 2 other names. Lineage: Bacteria; Pseudomonadati; Pseudomonadota; Gammaproteobacteria; Enterobacterales; Enterobacteriaceae.
GGUUAAGCGACUAAGCGUACACGGUGGAUGCCCUGGCAGUCAGAGGCGAUGAAGGACGUGCUAAUCUGCGAUAAGCGUCGGUAAGGUGAUAUGAACCGUUAUAACCGGCGAUUUCCGAAUGGGGAAACCCAGUGUGAUUCGUCACACUAUCAUUAACUGAAUCCAUAGGUUAAUGAGGCGAACCGGGGGAACUGAAACAUCUAAGUACCCCGAGGAAAAGAAAUCAACCGAGAUUCCCCCAGUAGCGGCGAGCGAACGGGGAGGAGCCCAGAGCCUGAAUCAGUGUGUGUGUUAGUGGAAGCGUCUGGAAAGGCGCGCGAUACAGGGUGACAGCCCCGUACACAAAAAUGCACAUGCUGUGAGCUCGAUGAGUAGGGCGGGACACGUGGUAUCCUGUCUGAAUAUGGGGGGACCAUCCUCCAAGGCUAAAUACUCCUGACUGACCGAUAGUGAACCAGUACCGUGAGGGAAAGGCGAAAAGAACCCCGGCGAGGGGAGUGAAAAAGAACCUGAAACCGUGUACGUACAAGCAGUGGGAGCACAGAGCAAUCUGUGUGACUGCGUACCUUUUGUAUAAUGGGUCAGCGACUUAUAUUCUGUAGCAAGGUUAACCGAAUAGGGGAGCCGAAGGGAAACCGAGUCUUAAC